CCUCGUUUAGCUCAGUUGGUAGAGCGCCUUAAUCCUUUUAAGGGGUCGCAGGUUCAAGUCCAGCAACGAGGC
This 72-nucleotide transfer RNA is filed under the name Vibrio alginolyticus. RNAcentral's name for it is "tRNA-Lys". It matches the Rfam family "tRNA". Rfam says of the family: Transfer RNA (tRNA) molecules are approximately 80 nucleotides in length. Their secondary structure includes four short double-helical elements and three loops (D, anti-codon, and T loops). RNAcentral also lists the same sequence under 16 other names. Lineage: Bacteria; Pseudomonadati; Pseudomonadota; Gammaproteobacteria; Vibrionales; Vibrionaceae. The record is from RNAcentral.